RNAcentral lists this long non-coding RNA (336 nucleotides) under Lathyrus oleraceus (garden pea). Its description in RNAcentral is "Pisum sativum (pea) long non-coding RNA (PSAT_LNC024921)". The record is from RNAcentral. Lineage: Eukaryota; Viridiplantae; Streptophyta; Magnoliopsida; Fabales; Fabaceae.
AUUUAUAAAAUAUUUCAUUCACUUUAACAACUUUAUAGCAAUUUUUUUCUCUUCUCCUUCCUCUUUUUAUUCAUUUUUUCGAAGGAGGUGUAUUGACAUGGAUUGAAAUAUUACAAAUAUAAUUCAUCUUUUUUCUUCCUCCUAUCCUUCUAUUUUUUCUUCCUCUUAUCCUUCUAUUUUUUUCGUUCCUUUUUUUUUCUUUUCUAUUUUCUUUUUCUAUUUUUUUUCUUUUCCUGCCAUCUUCUGAAAUAUUACAAACAUAAUUAUUCAACCCCACACAACUCCAAACAAGACUCUUUCAACCCUUUGAAUAGGGUGAUAAUAUUGUUUUUCAUU